UACGAAGGGGGCUAGCGUUGCUCGGAAUCACUGGGCGUAAAGGGCGCGUAGGCGGCGUUUUAAGUCGGGGUGAAAGCCUGUGGCUCAACCACAGAAUGGCCUUCGAUACUGGGACGCUUGAGUAUGGUAGAGGUUGGUGGAACUGCGAGUGUAGAGGUGAAAUUCGUAGAUAUUCGCAAGAACACCGGUGGCGAAGGCGGCCAACUGGACCAUUACUGACGCUGAGGCGCGAAAGCGUGGGGAGCGAACAGG
This 252-nucleotide ribosomal RNA is filed under the name uncultured bacterium. Its description in RNAcentral is "partial 16S ribosomal RNA". It matches the Rfam family "Bacterial small subunit ribosomal RNA", at positions 524 to 776 of the family's 1533-position model. The record is from RNAcentral.